RNAcentral lists this long non-coding RNA (737 nucleotides) under Anas platyrhynchos platyrhynchos (common mallard). Its description in RNAcentral is "lncRNA (ENSAPLG00000024863.1)". The record is from RNAcentral. Lineage: Eukaryota; Metazoa; Chordata; Aves; Anseriformes; Anatidae.
AGUAAAAACUCUAAGAUGAAGGAAAGAAGUAGUAAUGUGAUCUGAACUUCCUGCAGCACGUUCUCCUCUGGCAAAAGCUGUAUUUUUGCAGAUAGACAACUUUGUGAAGAUAAAGACAUUGACCUCAGGAAAAAAAAGAAAUAGCAAACCAUCCAGCUGCUGUUGUGUCCCCAAUGAAGGCUCUUCCAUUUACACUGUGGCACAGAGAUGCAUUCCUGCCUGCCUGGGGUACCUCCAUGCAUGUGACCAUAUCACCACUGGGCCUUUUGACCUUCUGUACUGGAAACUUUCUUUUCGAUCCCAUACAUCCUCAUAGGUUCCUGGGCAGGAUAUUCACAGCAAAGAAAGGAAGUGAAGACAACAUGACACAUCUGCAGCUCACAGCCACCACCGUCACACGACGUGGAGUAAAGCUGCCAAGGAGAAGAGCCUCUUUCAGUCAUUUUUCAGGCUCCUUUGUUCAUUAGUCACAGUUUUGACAAGCAGCUAACUCUCUUGAAGAUUGUCUCCAUCUCCAUGCUAGAAAGAAAUGACAAAUCACUCAAAGUUUAGGCAACAAGUUGAUCAGAGACUCAGCAGUGAUAAUGCUGCACUUCUUCGUGGUGGUAACAACCCCAGACACCUACCAAAAUAGCUUGUCAGCUCUGCUUCAUUCAAGUAUUCAAACCACCCAACAUACAGGCAGUCAGAUAAUCUGGCAGACGAAUAAAGUGCCUCGAACAUGACUGCCUUUGACA